UUGUCCAGUAGCGCCUUAGAGAACAACUAAGUUUGUUCUGGGUAUAAGCUUUUGUGUGCAUGCACACUUCUUCCGAAAGCUUAUAUCCAGAACAAGCUUAGUUGGUCUCUAAGGUGCUACUGGACAA
This 127-nucleotide microRNA precursor is filed under the name Podarcis lilfordi (Lilford's wall lizard). Lineage: Eukaryota; Metazoa; Chordata; Lepidosauria; Squamata; Lacertidae. The record is from RNAcentral.